Molecule: transfer RNA, 98 nt
Filed under: Calothrix sp. 336/3
Lineage: Bacteria; Bacillati; Cyanobacteriota; Cyanophyceae; Nostocales; Calotrichaceae
Rfam family: tRNA
About the family: Transfer RNA (tRNA) molecules are approximately 80 nucleotides in length. Their secondary structure includes four short double-helical elements and three loops (D, anti-codon, and T loops).
Source: Rfam by way of RNAcentral
GCAGGGAUGGUGUAAUUGGCAACAUCACAGUCUCCAAAACUGUUGUUCUGGGUACCCUUCGGGAAGCCGCUCCGCGUCUACAAGUCCUAGUCUCUGCG